CUUGGGAAUCUGGAGGUCUGCAAUUUGCUCCCCACUCCUUCCUUCCUUUCUUCACUGAAUAUUUGCUUAUUGGAUGGAGAGCACAUGUCCAUGCCUCUGAACUGCAGGGCCUCACAGACGCUUGGAGAGCACUUUUUCCUGCUUGCAUUCAUCUAUACCUGCACCUCCACUGUUGACGUUGUGGCUGAAUUGUCAGGUAUCUGGCAAGGAAGAACAUCAUGGAGGAAUGGAGGGGUGGAGGAGAGCUGUUCACCUCAUGAGAGCUGGAGAGCAGAGAAACAGAAAAAGAGCCAAAGAGUGAUGGAGCCAGGUAUUUCUUCAAUUUCAAGAAUUUAGAAGUGACUUGGCUGGAAGUUUCCGCAUUGGAGACUCUCACAAAGUUGCAUUCAGAUGGUGGUUGGUUCCAAAAACAUUUCAAGGCUUCUUCACUCACUUGUCUGAUGGCUGGGUUGGGGAAGAGGACCAAAGUCACUUCAUGAAAUGAGAUAGACUGUCACAGUCAUCAUUGAAAAAGAGGUACACAGUGUGGUGUACUUUUCAUUUAUUCCAUUCUUGUUUUUUGGGUAUCAGCAUGAUUUUAUAGUUUCAUUUGUAUAGGUUUUGCACAUUUCAUGUUAAAAUUAUUCAAAAUGUUAUAAUUGUUGUUUUGUUUGCAAUUGUAUUAUUUUCCUUUUUAUUUCUAUCUUAUAUUUGUUACUAUAAUAGACAGCU
This 711-nucleotide long non-coding RNA is filed under the name Heterocephalus glaber (naked mole-rat). RNAcentral's name for it is "lncRNA (ENSHGLG00000046127.1)". Lineage: Eukaryota; Metazoa; Chordata; Mammalia; Rodentia; Bathyergidae. The record is from RNAcentral.